UAAUACAUUUAAGAAUAAUACAUAAGGUAACAACUCAUGAUUUUUAUAUAUUAAAGACAAAUGAGGCGAUGAGUAAAUUUAGAAUUUGAAAUUUGAAUAUAAUAUUGAUAUGGGUAUUCUGUUAUUGUCGAUUUUUUUAUCUUUCUGUUUUUUGUUAUUGUUUAUUAUUUUGUGUUAUUAUCACUACCCGCCCGAAAAGUAGUCACCUAGCGUCUAGCUUUGGUCACCCAACUUCAGUCACGUCGGAAUUAUUGUUUUUAAAUUUUUAUCAUAGUAUCUAAAAGCGUUUUACACCACACGUCCACACAACACUGACUGGCGACUGUAUCAGUGGCCAGUGCAUAUUUUUAUGUUCCAUCAGCAAGAAUAAUGUGCACUGAGUGGACUUUUUUUUGUUUCACCUCAAUGUACUACGCCAGUUUUUUACACUGAAUGCAAUGAUAAGUACUAUAAGGGUACAUACGCACUAUGCGGUUGCCCGCAAUGCGGCCAGCCGUCCGGUUGACCGCAAGUGAUAAACUAUAAGCAAAUACUGUACAUCCGAAAAAUUGUAUUCGCACUACGUUGCGGUUACCCGCAAACCGUUCCGGUCGUUUGAAAUGUUUGAAUCGUUGCGGCCGCUUCGACGGCUGACCGCACGUUCUGCGUACGCAAUGUGCGCCGUGUGGUUAGUCUGCGGUAAACCGUCAUCGGCGUAGAAAUCCAGAACCGGCAAUCUCUUUGGAACACGAAGUGCUCAGAUUAUUCUGACAGAAAUAAAAAACAAAGAGAUUGGGAAGAGGUGGUGAAUAUUUACGGCGGUGAAUUAUCAGCGGAC
This is a long non-coding RNA of Diuraphis noxia (Russian wheat aphid), 817 nucleotides long. The record is from RefSeq and is a predicted model, not a curated record. NCBI's taxonomy places the organism in Eukaryota, Metazoa, Arthropoda, Insecta, Hemiptera, Aphididae.